GAUGAACGCUGGCGGCGUGCCUAAUACAUGCAAGUCGAGCGAAUGGAUUAAGAGCUUGCUCUUAUGAAGUUAGCGGCGGACGGGUGAGUAACACGUGGGUAACCUGCCCAUAAGACUGGGAUAACUCCGGGAAACCGGGGCUAAUACCGGAUAACAUUUUGAACCGCAUGGUUCGAAAUUGAAAGGCGGCUUCGGCUGUCACUUAUGGAUGGACCCGGGUCGCAUUAGCUAGUUGGUGAGGUAACGGCUCACCAAGGCAACGAUGCGUAGCCGACCUGGGAGGGUGAUCGGCCACACUGGGACUGAGACACGCCCCAGACUCCUACGGGAGGCAGCAGUAGGGAAUCUUCCGCAAUGGACGAAAGUCUGACGGAGCAACGCCGCGUGAGUGAUGAAGGCUUUCGGGUCGUAAAACUCUGUUGUUAGGGAAGAACAAGUGCUAGUUGAAUAAGCUGGCACCUUGACGGUACCUAACCAGAAAGCCACGGCUAACUACGUGCCAGCCGCCGCAGUAA
RNAcentral lists this ribosomal RNA (515 nucleotides) under uncultured bacterium. RNAcentral's name for it is "partial 16S ribosomal RNA". It matches the Rfam family "Bacterial small subunit ribosomal RNA", at positions 28 to 523 of the family's 1533-position model. The record is from RNAcentral.